CAAGGUUUCCUGGGGAAGGUUCAUCCGCCCAGGGUAAGUCGGGGCCUAAGCCGAGGACGGAAGUCGUAGGCGAUGGACAGCAGGUGUAGAUUCCUGCACUACCGAUGGAAUGAAGCAGUGACACAGAAGGAUAACUCGAGCAGGGUGAUGGUCAACCCUGUGCAAGCAUCGAGGUUGGGUUGUAGUGAAGUACGCAACCCUAUAAGCUGAGAUGUGAUGCGGACCGAAAUUUCAGUAGGGAAGCGAGUGAGUUCACGCUGGCGAGAAAAGCUGCUAGUACAUCCAAAGGUACCCGUACCGGAAACCGACGCAGGUGGGCGAGGAGAGAAUCCUGAGACGAACGGGAGAACCCUUGUUAAGGAACUCGGCAAAAUGACCCCGUAACUUCGGGAUAAGGGGUGCCUGCGAGAGCAGGCCGCAGAGAAUAGUCACAAGCGACUGUUUAGCAAAAACACAGGUAUCUGCGAAAGCGAGAGCUGACGUAUAGGUGCUGACACCUGCCCGGUGCUGGAAGGUUAAGGGAACAUGUUAGAGCAAUCGAAGCAUCGAACCGAAGCCCCAGUAAACGGCGGCCGUAACUAUAACGGUCCUAAGGUAGCGAAAUUCCUUGUCGGGUAAGUUCCGACCCGCACGAAUGGUGUAACGACUUGUGAGCUGUCUCAACAGGGGGCCCGGUGAAAUUGAAGUAUGGGUGAAGAUGCCCAUUACCCGCGACUGGACGGAAAGACCCCGUAGAGCUUUACUGCAGCCUGAUAUUGAGUUUCGGUAACUGAUGCACAGGAUAGGUGGGAGUCUGAGAGACAUGGGUUUCGGCUCAUGUGGAGACGGUGUUGGGAUACCACUCUUCGGUUACUGAAAUUCUAACAUAGCUCUGUGAAACCAGAGGAUGGACAGUGUCAGGUGGACAGUUUGACUGGGGCGGUCGCCUCCGAAAGAGUAACGGAGGCGCCCAAAGGUACCCUCAGAAUGGAUGGAAACCAUUCGAAGAGCGCAAAGGCAGAAGGGUGCCUGACUGCGAGAUUGACAAAUCGAGCAGAGACGAAAGUCGGGCUUAGUGAUCCGGCGGUAUUGAGUGGAAAAGCCGUCGCUUAACGGAUAAAAGCUACCUCGGGGAUAACAGGCUGAUCUCCCCCAAGAGUCCACAUCGACGGGGAGGUUUGGCACCUCGAUGUCGGCUCAUCGCAUCCUGGGGCUGAAUUCGGUCCCAAGGGUUUGGCUGUUCGCCAAUUAAAGCGGCACGCGAGCUGGGUUCAGAACGUCGUGAGACAGUUCGGUCCCUAUCCAUCGUGGGCGUAGGAGUCAUGAGAGGAGCUGUUCCUAGUACGAGAGGACCGGAAUGGACGCACCACUGGUGCAACUGUUGUCGUGCCAACGGCAUAGCAGGGAAGCGAAGUGCGGAUGGGAUAAACGCUGAAGGCAUCUAAGCGUGAAGCCCACCUCAAGAAUAAGACUCCACAAUAGACCCCUGGAGGACUACCAGGUAGAUAGGUCAUCGGUGGAAGCGCUGUAAGGCGUGCAGCUUGAUGAUACUAAUCGGUCGAAAGCUUCAUUU
This 1552-nucleotide ribosomal RNA is filed under the name human gut metagenome. RNAcentral's name for it is "bacterial LSU rRNA". It matches the Rfam family "Bacterial large subunit ribosomal RNA", at positions 1346 to 2925 of the family's 2925-position model. The record is from RNAcentral.